RNAcentral lists this ribosomal RNA (253 nucleotides) under uncultured bacterium. RNAcentral's name for it is "partial 16S ribosomal RNA". It matches the Rfam family "Bacterial small subunit ribosomal RNA", at positions 524 to 776 of the family's 1533-position model. The record is from RNAcentral.
UACGUAGGGUGCAAGCGUUGUCCGGAAUUAUUGGGCGUAAAGAGCUCGUAGGCGGUCUGUCGCGUCUGCUGUGAAAACUCGGGGCUUAACCCCGGGCCUGCAGUGGGUACGGGCAGACUAGAGUGCGGUAGGGGAGACUGGAAUUCCUGGUGUAGCGGUGAAAUGCGCAGAUAUCAGGAGGAACACCGGUGGCGAAGGCGGGUUUCUGGGCCGUAACUGACGCUGAGGAGCGAAAGCGUGGGGAGCGAACAGG